RNAcentral lists this ribosomal RNA (726 nucleotides) under Lutibacter sp. RNAcentral describes it as "bacterial SSU rRNA". It matches the Rfam family "Bacterial small subunit ribosomal RNA", at positions 28 to 744 of the family's 1533-position model. The record is from RNAcentral. Lineage: Bacteria; Pseudomonadati; Bacteroidota; Flavobacteriia; Flavobacteriales; Flavobacteriaceae.
GAUGAACGCUAGCGGCAGGCUUAACACAUGCAAGUCGAGGGGUAACAGGGAAGAGCUUGCUUUUCCGCUGACGACCGGCGCACGGGUGCGUAACGCGUAUAGAACCUACCUUUUACAGGGGAAUAGCCCAGAGAAAUUUGGAUUAAUGCCCCAUAGUAUUAUUGAAUGGCAUCAUUUAAUAAUUAAACAUUUAUGGGUAAAAGAUGGCUAUGCGUUCUAUUAGCUAGAUGGUAAGGUAACGGCUUACCAUGGCAACGAUAGAUAGGGGUCCUGAGAGGGAGAUCCCCCACACUGGUACUGAGACACGGACCAGACUCCUACGGGAGGCAGCAGUGAGGAAUAUUGGACAAUGGAGGCAACUCUGAUCCAGCCAUGCCGCGUGCAGGAAGACGGUCCUAUGGAUUGUAAACUGCUUUUAUAUAGGAAGAAACCUUUCCACGUGUGGAAAGCUGACGUUUCUAUAAGAAUAAGCACCGGCUAACUCCGUGCCAGCAGCCGCGGUAAUACGGAAGGGUGCAAGCGUUAUCCGGAAUCAUUGGGUUUAAAGGGUCCGUAGGCGGACUAAUAAGUCAGGGGUGAAAUCCAACAGCUUAACUGUUGAACUGCCUUUGAUACUGUUAGUCUUGAGUUAUAUGGAAGUAGAUAGAAUAUGUAGUGUAGCGGUGAAAUGCUUAGAGAUUACAUAGAAUACCGAUUGCGAAGGCAGUCUACUACGUAUAUACUGAC